This 630-nucleotide ribosomal RNA is filed under the name fungal endophyte. RNAcentral's name for it is "eukaryotic LSU rRNA". The stretch from base 180 to 333 matches the Rfam family "5.8S ribosomal RNA". Lineage: Eukaryota; Fungi. The record is from RNAcentral.
UUAAAGAGUUCUAUAACUCCCAAACCCAUGUGAACAUACCUAACGUUGCCUCGGCAGGUCGCACCUACCUUGUAGCACCCUACCCUGUAGGGCCUACCCGGGAGGUGCGGGUAAGCCUGCCGGCGGCCCACCAAACUCUGUUUGAUAUUGAAUUCUGAACCUAUAACUAAAUAAGUUAAAACUUUCAACAACGGAUCUCUUGGUUCUGGCAUCGAUGAAGAACGCAGCGAAAUGCGAUAAGUAAUGUGAAUUGCAGAAUUCAGUGAAUCAUCGAAUCUUUGAACGCAUAUUGCGCCCAUUAGUAUUCUAGUGGGCAGGACCGUUCGAGCGUCAUUUCAACCCUUAAGCCUUCGUUGCUUAGUGUUGGGAGCCUACGGCAACGUAGCUCCUCAAAGUUAGUGGCGGAGUUGGUUCACACUCUAGACGUAGUAAUUUUUUAUCUCGCCUAUUAGUUGGACUAAUCCCCUGCCGUAAAACCCCCAAUUUAUCAAGGUUGACCUCGAAUCGGUUCAGACAAACUCGCUAAAUUGAAGCAUCUUAGUCAGCGAAGGAAAAGAAACCAACAGGGAUUGCCCUAGUAACGGCGAGUGAAGCGGCAACAGCUCAAAUUUGAAAUCUGGCCCUCGGGUC